GAUGAACGCUAGCGACAGGCUUAAACACAUGCAAGUCGAGGGGCAUCACGGGUAGCAAUAUCUGGUGGCGACCGGCGAACGGGUGAGUAACGCGUAUGCAACCUACUUGUAAACGGGAGACAACCUGGAGAAAUUUGGGCUAAACUUCCAUGAGGCAUUAUUACUGCAUGGUAAUGAUGUCAAACGUAAGGUUUACAAAUGGGCAUGCGUAUGAUUAGCUAGUUGGUAGGGUAAUAGCCUACCAAGGCGACGAUCAUUAGGGGUUCUGAGAGGAAGGUCCCCCACAUUGGAACUGAGAUACGGUCCAAACUCCUACGGGAGGCAGCAGUGGGGAAUUUUGGACAAUGGGGGCAACCCUGAUCCAGCCAUGCCGCGUGAGUGAAGAAGGCCUUGGUUGUAACUCCUGGACUGGGGACGAGGUAAGGACGGUACCCAGUAGAAAGGGACGGCUAACUACGUG
Molecule: ribosomal RNA, 460 nt
Filed under: uncultured bacterium
Lineage: Bacteria
Description: bacterial SSU rRNA
Rfam family: Bacterial small subunit ribosomal RNA
Source: RNAcentral